ACGCUCGACACCUACGGGGGGCAGCAGUGGGGAAUAUUGCACAAUGGGGGAAACCCGUGAUGCAGCGACGCCGCGUGAGCGAAGAAGUAUUUCGGUAUGUAAAGCUCUAUCAGCAGGGAAGAAACUGACGGUACCUGACUAAGAAGCACCGGCUAAAUACGUGCCAGCAGCCGCAGUAAUCUGAGCGGGCUGGCAAGGC
Molecule: ribosomal RNA, 199 nt
Filed under: uncultured bacterium
Lineage: Bacteria
Description: partial 16S ribosomal RNA
Rfam family: Bacterial small subunit ribosomal RNA
Source: RNAcentral